This 372-nucleotide ribosomal RNA is filed under the name uncultured organism. RNAcentral's name for it is "bacterial SSU rRNA". It matches the Rfam family "Bacterial small subunit ribosomal RNA", at positions 526 to 896 of the family's 1533-position model. The record is from RNAcentral.
CGAAGGGUGCAAGCGUUACUCGGAAUUACUGGGCGUAAAGCGUGCGUAGGUGGUUCGUUAAGUCUGCCGUGAAAGCCCCGGGCUCAACCUGGGAAUGGCGGUGGAUACUGGCGGACUAGAGUGCGGUAGAGGGAGGUGGAAUUCCCGGUGUAGCAGUGAAAUGCGUAGAGAUCGGGAGGAACAUCUGUGGCGAAGGCGGCCACCUGGACCAGCACUGACACUGAGGCACGAAAGCGUGGGGAGCAAACAGGAUUAGAUACCCUGGUAGUCCACGCCCUAAACGAUGCGAACUGGACGUUGGGAGCAACUAGGCUCUCAGUGUCGAAGCUAACGCGUUAAGUUCGCCGCCUGGGGAGUACGGUCGCAAGACUG